RNAcentral lists this ribosomal RNA (467 nucleotides) under uncultured bacterium. RNAcentral's name for it is "partial 16S ribosomal RNA". It matches the Rfam family "Bacterial small subunit ribosomal RNA", at positions 28 to 507 of the family's 1533-position model. The record is from RNAcentral.
GAUGAACGCUGGCGGCGUGCUUAACACAUGCAAGUCGAACGGAAAGGCCCAAGCUUGCUUGGGUACUCGAGUGGCGAACGGGUGAGUAACACGUGGGUGAUCUGCCCUGCACUUCGGGAUAAGCCUGGGAAACUGGGUCUAAUACCGGAUAGGACCACAUUUUGGAUGGUGUGGUGGAAAGUUUUUCGGUGUGGGAUGAGCUCGCGGCCUAUCAGCUUGUUGGUGGGGUAAUGGCCUACCAAGGCGUCGACGGGUAGCCGGCCUGAGAGGGUGUACGGCCACAUUGGGACUGAGAUACGGCCCAGACUCCUACGGGAGGCAGCAGUGGGGAAUAUUGCACAAUGGGCGCAAGCCUGAUGCGGCGACGCCGCGUGGGGGAUGACGGCCUUCGGGUUGUAAACUCCUUUCGCUAGGGACGAAGCGUUUUUGUGACGGUACCUGGAGAAGAAGCACCGGCUAACUACGUG